Molecule: ribosomal RNA, 868 nt
Filed under: uncultured fungus
Lineage: Eukaryota; Fungi
Description: SSU rRNA
Rfam family: Eukaryotic small subunit ribosomal RNA
Source: RNAcentral
UCGUUAUCGUUUAUUUGAUAGUACCUUACUACAUGGAUAACCGUGGUAAUUCUAGAGCUAAUACAUGCUAAAAACCUCGACUUCGGAAGGGGUGUAUUUAUUAGAUAAAAAACCAAUGCCCUUCGGGGCUCCUUGGUGAAUCAUAAUAACUUAACGAAUCGCAUGGCCUUGCGCCGGCGAUGGUUCAUUCAAAUUUCUGCCCUAUCAACUUUCGAUGGUAGGAUAGUGGCCUACCAUGGUAUCAACGGGUAACGGGGAAUUAGGGUUCGACUCCGGAGAGGGAGCCUGAGAAACGGCUACCACAUCCAAGGAAGGCAGCAGGCGCGCAAAUUACCCAAUCCCGACACGGGGAGGUAGUGACAAUAAAUACUGAUACAGGGCUCUUUUGGGUCUUGUAAUUGGAAUGAGUACAAUUUAAAUCCCUUAACGAGGAACAAUUGGAGGGCAAGUCUGGUGCCAGCAGCCGCGGUAAUUCCAGCUCCAAUAGCGUAUAUUAAAGUUGUUGCAGUUAAAAAGCUCGUAGUUGAACCUUGGGCCUGGCUGGCCGGUCCGCCUCACCGCGUGUACUGGUCCGGCCGGGCCUUUCCUUCUGGGGAACCUCAUGCCCUUCACUGGGCGUGUUGGGGAACCAGGACUUUUACUUUGAAAAAAUUAGAGUGUUCAAAGCAGGCCUUUGCUCGAAUACAUUAGCAUGGAAUAAUAGAAUAGGACGUGUGGUUCUAUUUUGUUGGUUUCUAGGACCGCCGUAAUGAUUAAUAGGGAUAGUCGGGGGCAUCAGUAUUCAAUCGUCAGAGGUGAAAUUCUUGGAUUGAUUGAAGACUAACUACUGCGAAAGCAUUUGCCAAGGAUGUUUUCAUUAAUCAGUGAA